AUCCUUCUCAGAUCAAUGAGACAUGAUGAGUUGGUUAACACGCGGUUUUGCGUGAAACGUGCGACACCAACCUUGUUACGCAUAUGCACGAGAACCAUCUGAUC
Molecule: small nucleolar RNA, 104 nt
Filed under: Parasteatoda tepidariorum (common house spider)
Lineage: Eukaryota; Metazoa; Arthropoda; Arachnida; Araneae; Theridiidae
Description: small nucleolar RNA U13
Rfam family: Small nucleolar RNA U13
Source: RNAcentral